AUGGGAUUUGGCCUUAUUCUUAUUCCGAUGGCAACAAAAAAUCUUCAUCGCAUAUGGUUUUUUCCUAGUAUUUUACUCUUAAGUAUAGCUAUGGUAUUCUAAGUUCAACUGUCUAUUCAACAAAAAAAUGGAAGUUCGAUCUAUCAAUAUUUGUGGUCUUGGACCGUCAAUAAUGAUUUUUCUUUAGAAUUUGGAUACUUGAUUGACCCACUUACUUCUAUUAUGUUAAUACUAAUUACUACUGUAGGAAUCCUGGUUCUUAUUUAUAGUGAUGGUUAUAUGUCUCUCGAUUCCGCUCAACCCCUCUUAAGCUACCACAUAGAUGCGUUGGCCUCGUGA
Molecule: ribosomal RNA, 339 nt
Filed under: Triticum aestivum (bread wheat)
Lineage: Eukaryota; Viridiplantae; Streptophyta; Magnoliopsida; Poales; Poaceae
Description: partial small subunit ribosomal RNA
Source: RNAcentral